GACACGGCCCAAGACUCCUACGGGAGGCAGCAGUGGGGAAUUUUCCGCAAUGGGCGUCAAGCCUGACGGAGCAAUACCGCGUGAGGGAGGACGGCUUUUGGGUUGUAAACCCUCUUUUAUUGGGGAAGAAGGUCUGACGGUACCCAAUGAGAUACAGCAUCGGCUAACUCCGUGCCAGCAAGCCGCGGUAAUACGGAGGAUGCAAGCGUUAUCCGGGAAUUAUUGGGCUGUAAAGGGUCCGCAGGUGGUUUGACAAGUCUUGCUGUUAAAGCGUGGAGCUUAACUCCAUAAAGGCAGUGGAAACUGUGAGACUAGAGUUCGGUAGGGGUCGACGGGAAUUCCCAGUGUAGCGGUGAAAUGCGUAGAUAUUGGCGAAGAACACCGUGCGGCGA
RNAcentral lists this ribosomal RNA (392 nucleotides) under Gloeothece sp. Ind59. RNAcentral's name for it is "bacterial SSU rRNA". It matches the Rfam family "Bacterial small subunit ribosomal RNA", at positions 323 to 718 of the family's 1533-position model. The record is from RNAcentral. Lineage: Bacteria; Bacillati; Cyanobacteriota; Cyanophyceae; Chroococcales; Aphanothecaceae.